This 305-nucleotide ribosomal RNA is filed under the name Acidithiobacillus caldus. RNAcentral's name for it is "bacterial SSU rRNA". It matches the Rfam family "Bacterial small subunit ribosomal RNA", at positions 1063 to 1369 of the family's 1533-position model. Lineage: Bacteria; Pseudomonadati; Pseudomonadota; Acidithiobacillia; Acidithiobacillales; Acidithiobacillaceae. The record is from RNAcentral.
UGUCGUGAGAUGUUGGGUUAAGUCCGCAACGAGCGCNACCCUUGUUCCUAGUUGCNAGCGGUUCGGCCGGGCNCUCUAGGGAGACUGCCGGUGACAAACCGGAGGAAGGUGGGGAUGACGUCAAGUCCUCAUGGCCUUUAUGUCCAGGGCUACWCACGUGCUACAAUGGCGCGUACAGAGGGAAGCCAAGCCGCGAGGUGGAGCAGACCCCAGAAAGCGCGUCGUAGUUCGGAUUGCAGUCUGCAACUCGACUGCAUGAAGUCGGAAUCGCUAGUAAUCGCGGAUCAGCAUGCCGCGGUGAAUAC